Bos taurus (domestic cattle) is the source of this 508-nucleotide long non-coding RNA. NCBI's taxonomy places the organism in Eukaryota, Metazoa, Chordata, Mammalia, Artiodactyla, Bovidae. The record is from Ensembl.
AUACAUCAGAGAAGCGGGUUGGGAAUGGGGCUUGGCUGCAGUUUUUCCCAAAGCAGGGCCUGAGCUGAGGAUUCGGGUGCAGGUUGCUUAUUCGGAAGGUGACCCGCGGAAGCAUGGUUGCAUGCUUCCAGCAAGAUCCCUGGUGCCAAAGGAAGUCCACAGGCCGAGAAGGAAAGAGAAGCAAGCCCUUUAAGCUCUCUAGAAACAGCUCAGUGCAACUGCAGGCGAACUCAGAAGUGGGCCAAGGGGAUCCAGAGAUGGCCCCUGACACUGCCCAGUUGCCAUGCUGUGAGGAAGCCCAGACCACAGGCAGAGGUCAUGUAUAGGUGUUCCAGCUGACAGCCCCAGAUGAGGUCUCAGACGACACCCUGCAACCACUGUCUGAGGGGGCCAUGGAGUGAUGCCAACCCCCAGUCCUCAGGCCACCCCAGCUGACACCAAAGAGCUGUCCCUACCAAGCCCUGCUCAAAUCACGGAUUUUAUUGGAAAAAUAAAUACUGUGUUUAUU